Molecule: ribosomal RNA, 361 nt
Filed under: Pieris rapae (cabbage white)
Lineage: Eukaryota; Metazoa; Arthropoda; Insecta; Lepidoptera; Pieridae
Description: partial 12S ribosomal RNA
Source: RNAcentral
AACUAAGGAUUAGAUACCCUAUUAUAAAAAAUUAAAAUAAAUUACUAAAAUAGUAUAUAAUUAUUUAUUGAAACUUAAAUAAUUUGGCGGUAUUUUAGUUCAUUUAGAGGAAUCUGUCUAGUAAUUGAUAAUCCACGAAUAAAUUUACUUAAUUUAUAAUUUUGUAUAUCAUUGUUAAAAAAAUAUUUUUUAGUAAAAUUAAUAUUUAAAAAUUUUAAUAUGGGAAUUAAUUCAGAUCAAGAUGCAGAGUAUAAUUAAGAAUAUGAUGGAUUACAAUAAAUAUAUUUAAAUGAAUAAUUUUAUUGUAAAUAAAUUUGAAGGUGGAUUUAGAUGUGAUUUGGAAUGAAACGUGGAACUGUCC